This 490-nucleotide ribosomal RNA is filed under the name uncultured bacterium. RNAcentral describes it as "partial 16S ribosomal RNA". It matches the Rfam family "Bacterial small subunit ribosomal RNA", at positions 30 to 507 of the family's 1533-position model. The record is from RNAcentral.
AUUGAACGCUGGCGGCAGGCCUAACACAUGCAAGUCGAACGGUAACAGGAAGCAGCUUGCUGCUUUGCUGACGAGUGGCGGACGGGUGAGUAAUGUCUGGGAAACUGCCCGAUGGAGGGGGAUAACUACUGGAAACGGUAGCUAAUACCGCAUAACGUCGCAAGACCAAAGAGGGGGACCUUAGGGCCUCUUGCCAUCGGCUGUGCCCAGAUGGGAUUAGCUAGUAGGUGGGGUAACGGCUCACCUAGGCGACGAUCCCUAGCUGGUCUGAGAGGAUGACCAGCCACACUGGAACUGAGACACGGUCCAGACUCCUACGGGAGGCAGCAGUGGGGAAUAUUGCACAAUGGGCGCAAGCCUGAUGCAGCCAUGCCGCGUGUAUGAAGAAGGCCUUCGGGUUGUAAAGUACUUUCAGCGGGGAGGAAGGGAGUAAAGUUAAUACCUUGGCUCAUUGACGUUACCCGCAGAAGAAGCACCGGCUAACUCCGUG